UCAGGAUAGGCUCGAGAUCGAGAAGUUGUGUUUUGUAAGCAUAUGCUCCAUUGCUUCAGUCAUUCAUAUUUAUAUGUAUAUAAGACCAAAACGAACUGACCUUAAAUUUGCAAGACAACAUCCACUUAACGUUUGAAAACAAUAAUUUAGAAAAUCAUGUGAGGAUUGAUUUAUUUAGUAGCAUCCCAAGGAAUUUUCUUUGCAGUUUGCAGACCAAUUAUGAUUAUAGAUAGUUCCGCCUUAGAAAGUCAGAAAGCCUCCAGAGCAGCGAGUCAAUGAGCCAAACCAGUCCUUAAAAGGGAUUAUCAGUAUUCCCUUCGAUCAAACUUAAAUGGAUUACAUCGAGGAGGCAUACUCAGAUUCAACAUGUCAUUAAUAUGACAGGGUAUCUUAACCUUUAGGGAGGCAGAGAACAACAGAUUUAAGAAAAAAAACUCAACAAGCACUGCAUUGACCAUGUUCAAUUAAAGUCGGAGAGAAAGAGAUUGGGAUAGUGCUUAUGAGCCAUAAUUCGAGGAAAUUAAUUACAUCAAUCCUAAACAGAAAUACGUUCAUUCAUGACAGUAAAAUAAUACUACAGACAAUAGUGUGGACAUCUUCCUCCUUGAAUUUAUCUAACGUAAAGUACUUGGUGCAUAAUAAAGGUUGGGGCUUGGUGCUUCCUUAAUCCUCAAACAGAAACAGC
This is a long non-coding RNA of Neltuma alba, 685 nucleotides long. RefSeq lists it as uncharacterized. The record is from RefSeq and is a predicted model, not a curated record. NCBI's taxonomy places the organism in Eukaryota, Viridiplantae, Streptophyta, Magnoliopsida, Fabales, Fabaceae. The transcript has 2 exons.